UUGGGCCGAUCAAAGGUUGUUUUGUUUAAAAAUCGAUCAAAGGCUCUUUUUAUGAUGGGCUGAUCAAAGGCUAAACCGAUCAAAGGCCGUUUUAUUUAAAAGUCGAUCAAAGACUCCUUCUACACUAGGCCGAUCAAAGAUCGGGCCAAUCAAAGGCCAUUUUGUUUAAAAGUCGAUCCAAGACUCCUUCUACAUUGGGC
This 200-nucleotide long non-coding RNA is filed under the name Elaeis guineensis (African oil palm). RNAcentral describes it as "long non-coding RNA (EGUI_LNC039390)". The record is from RNAcentral. Lineage: Eukaryota; Viridiplantae; Streptophyta; Magnoliopsida; Arecales; Arecaceae.